RNA transcript from Neopsephotus bourkii (Bourke's parrot), 1696 nucleotides. It is a transcript of the gene named RD3 regulator of GUCY2D, with no coding region annotated. NCBI's taxonomy places the organism in Eukaryota, Metazoa, Chordata, Aves, Psittaciformes, Psittacidae. The record is from RefSeq and is a predicted model, not a curated record. The transcript has 3 exons.
ACACGCAGAGCACUAUGUCACUGGCCUCCUGGUUCCGGUGGAAUGAGCCCUCAAGCCGCAUUUCCCAGAAAAGCCCCACGGAGAUGGUGGUGGAGACGCUCAUGAUGGAGCUGAGCUGGCAGACCAAGCAGGCAGAGAAGCAGCAGCGAGAGCGGGAGAACGAGUAUCGCAAGAUCAAGACAGGGGUGGACUACGGCUGGCUGGUCAGCUAUCCAAAGCAGAGCUAUGAUAUCAGCCCAGGAGAGCGCCUGCAGCUGGAGGAUAUGUGUACCAAAAUCCACCCUUCCUACUGUGGGCCUGUCAUACUCAGAUUCCGGCAACUCAUUGCUGAAUAUGAACCAGAAGUGCAGGAAGUAUCCCGGCUCUUCCGCUCUGCCCUGCAGGAAGCUGCUGAGAAGAUCAAAGAAGAGGAAGAGGCCAAGAAGCUUGCCAGGCAAUGGAACACAAAGAACAAAACCAGCCUCUCCUUAACAACAUUUAAAUCCCGGUCCAGGAUUUCCCCGUUCAUCAGUGACAUCAAGACCAUCUCUGAGGAUGUGGAACGGGGCACCCAGCCCACCAGGAGGGUUUGGAGCAUGCCGGAAUUUCGGAACGCCAAGGAUUACUGACUCUAUGUUGAAUAAGGUUUUUAGAUCUUUCACAAUCCCAGUUAACUCUUUUCUAGCUCUACUGUUUGUUCUUUCUCCCUGCCUGUCUCUUCUCUUGGAAGCUGUGUCCAUAGUGACUGCUGCUGAUGCCCGCGGUGUGUGACACAAUUCAUGACCAAACAUGCUAGCCUUUCCUUUAAUUUAGUAGCUAAUCAGUAACCUUAAGGGCAAGGCUCACUGACUGUCCUCUUUUUAUGGCUGCUUUCUUGUGGGAAAUGAAUUAUUUUGCGAUGUCUGCCUUCUCCCUUUCCCCCCAGCCUGGAUGUAGUUAUCUAGAAAAGCUUUUGGCACAAGCUAGUGAGAGCUGCUGGCUGGACCAAUCUUGCUGAAAGCAAGACAGCCACUUCCAUGAGUAAGGCUUGCAGGAUCAGGCCUGUGAGUUAAAGCUACUAUCUGAUUUGGAACUGAACUUCCUUUUCCAACUAAUAAAUAGCCUUCCCCAGUGCUACAGGAAACUUCACAGGUAACCUCAGCACUGCUCUUGAUCAGCUUUUUGCUGACAACUCACAAUCCAACCUGAGUAGAAACAGACCCCAAGCUUUUUGAGAUGAAAGACCAAUAUUAUUCCACAGCAACAAGUUUAUGCAUGCUCAGGUUUCUUGGGUAUUUUCUCUUUUGUGCAGGCAGAACCCCCUGAACCUCGCACCUGCAGAGUAGAUAGAAAGGUAACAACGUGCUGUGUAGAUAUACAGGCGGAUACAUCAGCGCUGUGUCAAAUGCUGUUCUUGGUCCUCAGUGUUCUGUGUUGCUGAGGAGAGUCAGGAGUAACUGACUUCCUUUCACCAAUGUACAAAGCCAAGGAAAAUCGCCUGAAGCGUGUUCACGCUAUCACAGCAGCCUGAGAUCAUACUGUGUCCUUCAUUAACCACCUCCAGCUAGCAGCUACCAUUGUCCUUUAACAGCCAGCAAAGGGAGACAACUCUGACCUUUGGUCAAAGCCAUGGAUGUGAGAGGCCAGCCUGCAGCAGUGCCUGCCACAGCUGUUCUGCCUCAACUUACCUAUCAUUUCUAUUUCCUCAAUAAAAUACAAUCCAAGCUUUUAAGCAGCA